Molecule: ribosomal RNA, 2904 nt
Filed under: Escherichia coli
Lineage: Bacteria; Pseudomonadati; Pseudomonadota; Gammaproteobacteria; Enterobacterales; Enterobacteriaceae
Description: 23S ribosomal RNA
Rfam family: Bacterial large subunit ribosomal RNA
Source: RNAcentral
GGUUAAGCGACUAAGCGUACACGGUGGAUGCCCUGGCAGUCAGAGGCGAUGAAGGACGUGCUAAUCUGCGAUAAGCGUCGGUAAGGUGAUAUGAACCGUUAUAACCGGCGAUUUCCGAAUGGGGAAACCCAGUGUGUUUCGACACACUAUCAUUAACUGAAUCCAUAGGUUAAUGAGGCGAACCGGGGGAACUGAAACAUCUAAGUACCCCGAGGAAAAGAAAUCAACCGAGAUUCCCCCAGUAGCGGCGAGCGAACGGGGAGGAGCCCAGAGCCUGAAUCAGUGUGUGUGUUAGUGGAAGCGUCUGGAAAGGCGCGCGAUACAGGGUGACAGCCCCGUACACAAAAAUGCACAUGCUGUGAGCUCGAUGAGUAGGGCGGGACACGUGGUAUCCUGUCUGAAUAUGGGGGGACCAUCCUCCAAGGCUAAAUACUCCUGACUGACCGAUAGUGAACCAGUACCGUGAGGGAAAGGCGAAAAGAACCCCGGCGAGGGGAGUGAAAAAGAACCUGAAACCGUGUACGUACAAGCAGUGGGAGCCUCUUAAUGGGGUGACUGCGUACCUUUUGUAUAAUGGGUCAGCGACUUAUAUUCUGUAGCAAGGUUAACCGAAUAGGGGAGCCGAAGGGAAACCGAGUCUUAACUGGGCGUUAAGUUGCAGGGUAUAGACCCGAAACCCGGUGAUCUAGCCAUGGGCAGGUUGAAGGUUGGGUAACACUAACUGGAGGACCGAACCGACUAAUGUUGAAAAAUUAGCGGAUGACUUGUGGCUGGGGGUGAAAGGCCAAUCAAACCGGGAGAUAGCUGGUUCUCCCCGAAAGCUAUUUAGGUAGCGCCUCGUGAAUUCAUCUCCGGGGGUAGAGCACUGUUUCGGCAAGGGGGUCAUCCCGACUUACCAACCCGAUGCAAACUGCGAAUACCGGAGAAUGUUAUCACGGGAGACACACGGCGGGUGCUAACGUCCGUCGUGAAGAGGGAAACAACCCAGACCGCCAGCUAAGGUCCCAAAGUCAUGGUUAAGUGGGAAACGAUGUGGGAAGGCCCAGACAGCCAGGAUGUUGGCUUAGAAGCAGCCAUCAUUUAAAGAAAGCGUAAUAGCUCACUGGUCGAGUCGGCCUGCGCGGAAGAUGUAACGGGGCUAAACCAUGCACCGAAGCUGCGGCAGCGACACUAUGUGUUGUUGGGUAGGGGAGCGUUCUGUAAGCCUGUGAAGGUGUACUGUGAGGUAUGCUGGAGGUAUCAGAAGUGCGAAUGCUGACAUAAGUAACGAUAAAGCGGGUGAAAAGCCCGCUCGCCGGAAGACCAAGGGUUCCUGUCCAACGUUAAUCGGGGCAGGGUGAGUCGACCCCUAAGGCGAGGCCGAAAGGCGUAGUCGAUGGGAAACAGGUUAAUAUUCCUGUACUUGGUGUUACUGCGAAGGGGGGACGGAGAAGGCUAUGUUGGCCGGGCGACGGUUGUCCCGGUUUAAGCGUGUAGGCUGGUUUUCCAGGCAAAUCCGGAAAAUCAAGGCUGAGGCGUGAUGACGAGGCACUACGGUGCUGAAGCAACAAAUGCCCUGCUUCCAGGAAAAGCCUCUAAGCAUCAGGUAACAUCAAAUCGUACCCCAAACCGACACAGGUGGUCAGGUAGAGAAUACCAAGGCGCUUGAGAGAACUCGGGUGAAGGAACUAGGCAAAAUGGUGCCGUAACUUCGGGAGAAGGCACGCUGAUAUGUAGGUGAAGUCCCUCGCGGAUGGAGCUGAAAUCAGUCGAAGAUACCAGCUGGCUGCAACUGUUUAUUAAAAACACAGCACUGUGCAAACACGAAAGUGGACGUAUACGGUGUGACGCCUGCCCGGUGCCGGAAGGUUAAUUGAUGGGGUUAGCGGUAACGCGAAGCUCUUGAUCGAAGCCCCGGUAAACGGCGGCCGUAACUAUAACGGUCCUAAGGUAGCGAAAUUCCUUGUCGGGUAAGUUCCGACCUGCACGAAUGGCGUAAUGAUGGCCAGGCUGUCUCCACCCGAGACUCAGUGAAAUUGAACUCGCUGUGAAGAUGCAGUGUACCCGCGGCAAGACGGAAAGACCCCGUGAACCUUUACUAUAGCUUGACACUGAACAUUGAGCCUUGAUGUGUAGGAUAGGUGGGAGGCUUUGAAGUGUGGACGCCAGUCUGCAUGGAGCCGGCCUUGAAAUACCACCCUUUAAUGUUUGAUGUUCUAACGUUGGCCCCUGAUCGGGGUUGCGGACAGUGUCUGGUGGGUAGUUUGACUGGGGCGGUCUCCUCCUAAAGAGUAACGGAGGAGCACGAAGGUUGGCUAAUCCUGGUCGGACAUCAGGAGGUUAGUGCAAUGGCAUAAGCCAGCUUGACUGCGAGCGUGACGGCGCGAGCAGGUGCGAAAGCAGGUCAUAGUGAUCCGGUGGUUCUGAAUGGAAGGGCCAUCGCUCAACGGAUAAAAGGUACUCCGGGGAUAACAGGCUGAUACCGCCCAAGAGUUCAUAUCGACGGCGGUGUUUGGCACCUCGAUGUCGGCUCAUCACAUCCUGGGGCUGAAGUAGGUCCCAAGGGUAUGGCUGUUCGCCAUUUAAAGUGGUACGCGAGCUGGGUUUAGAACGUCGUGAGACAGUUCGGUCCCUAUCUGCCGUGGGCGCUGGAGAACUGAGGGGGGCUGCUCCUAGUACGAGAGGACCGGAGUGGACGCAUCACUGGUGUUCGGGUUGUCAUGCCAAUGGCACUGCCCGGUAGCUAAAUGCGGAAGAGAUAAGUGCUGAAAGCAUCUAAGCACGAAACUUGCCCCGAGAUGAGUUCUCCCUGACUCCUUGAGAGUCCUGAAGGAACGUUGAAGACGACGACGUUGAUAGGCCGGGUGUGUAAGCGCAGCGAUGCGUUGAGCUAACCGGUACUAAUGAACCGUGAGGCUUAACCUU